The sequence is a ribosomal RNA, 1947 nucleotides long. It matches the Rfam family "Eukaryotic small subunit ribosomal RNA".
GCAGGUCUGAGUACGGCCUCUAGCGAACAGGCGAAACCGCGAAUGGCUCAUUAAAUCAGUUAUGGUUCCUUAGAGCUUACGUUGUCUUACUUGGAUAACCGUGGUAAUUCUAGAGCUAAUACAUGCAAUUAUGCUCCGACCCCCUGUCGGGGGAACGAGCGCUUUUAUUAGACCGCAACGACCGCAUCCGGCGCGGCUUUCUCCGGGUCCCUCGGGGCUUUGGGGUGCCGCGGACGCGUCUGCGUGGUGACUCUGGAUAACUCUGCCGAUCGGCCGGCGAUCCCCGAGAGGGGGUGCCAGUCCGGCCGACGCACCUUUCAAGUGUCUGCCUUAUCAACUGUCGACGGUAGGUUAAAUGCUUACCGUGGUAGUAACGGGUGACGGGGAAUCAGGGUUCGAUUCCGGAGAGGAAGCCUGAGAAACGGCUACCACAUCCAAGGAAGGCAGCAGGCUCGCAAAUUACCCACUCCCGGCACGGGGAGGUAGUGACGAAAAAUAACGAUGCGGGACUCGGUCGAGACCCCGCCAUCGGAAUGAGUACACUCUAAAUCCUUUAACGAGGAUCCACCGGAGGGCAAGUCUGGUGCCAGCAGCUGCGGUAAUUCCAGCUCCGGUAGCAUAUGCUAAAGUUGCUGCGGUUAAAAAGCUCGUAGUUGGACUUCAGUCUCGGCCGCUCGGUCUCGCCCGUGUUGGCGGGUCUCGACGCGGCCGGUCAGAAGGUCGGCCGCCCGGGAUCAUCUUAACCGGUUGUCUCGGAACGGCCGGCGAGUUUACUUUGAAAAAAUCAGAGUGCUCAAAGCGGGCGUUAUCCGCCCGAAUGGUAGUGCAUGGAAUAAUGGAACAAGACCUCGGUUCAAGUCAGAUGGUCCACGAACCCUGAGGUAAUGAUUAAGAGGAACGGCCGGGGGCGAUCGUACCGCGACGCUAGAGGUGAAAUUCUUGGACCGUCGCGUGACGCACCACAGCGAAAGCAUUCGUCAAGAACGCUUCCGUUAAUCAAGAACGAAAGUCAGAGGUUCGAAGGCGAUCAGAUACCGCCCUAGUUCUGACCAUAAACGAUGCCGACCAGCGAUCGGGCUGCGCUCGCCACGACGAGGCGCCCGGAAGCUUUCCGGGAAACCAGAGUGUCUGGGUUCCGGGGGAAGUAUGGUUGCAAAGCUGAAACUUAAAGGAAUUGACGGAAGGGCACCACCAGGAAUGGAGCCUGCGGCUUAAUUUGACUCAACACGGGAAAACUCACCCGGCCCGGACACGGGAAGGAUUGACAGACUGAUUGCUCUUUCUUGAUUCUGUGGGUGGUGGUGCAUGGCCGUUCUUAGUUGGUGGAGCGAUUUGUCUGGUUGAUUCCGAUAACGAACGAGACUCUAGCCUGCUAAAUAGCGAGGUUUUCGCACGCGGGGUUUCCGCGUCUGAGGUUCGUCCCGCGGGGUUGUCGGUGUUUCGGCGUGUCGUUUGCGGUCUCUCUCUCUCUCCGGACUUGGCGGGGAACUUCGUAAACCUCCGAUAUCUCUUCUUAGAGGGACAAGCGACGCAUUAAAGUCGCGCGAGGAAGAGCGAUAACAGGUCUGUGAUGCCCUUAGAUGUCCGGGGCCGCACGCGCGCUACACUGACGCUCACAGCGUGCGCGCUCGCCCGGUCCGACAGGACCGGGGAACCCCCUGAACGGACGUCGUGAUGGGGACAGGGGAUUGGAAUUGUUCCCCUCGAACGAGGAAUUCCCAGUAAUCGCGAGUCACUAGCUCGCGUUGAUUACGUCCCUGCCCUUUGUACACACCGCCCGUCGCUACUAUCGAUUGAACGGUUCGGUGAGGUCCUCGGACUGGCUUACGCUGGAGGGACCCUGUCUCCGUUCGCCUUAACGGGCGGCGGAGUUAUUCCCGAUGCGGUAGCCGGAAAGUCGAUCGAACCGUAUCGUUUAGAGAAAGUAAAAGUCGUAACAAGGUUUCC